UUGUUAAGUUUUUCAAAGAACAAAACUGUUAGAUCUGUGGGAACAUAUCAGUGCUAGACAUCUCAAACUCUCCUAAUCAUUCAAAAAAGAGAAUCCUAAAUAGAUUUGUUAGCUAAAUAAAAACACAGUAAAGGUUGAGGCCAUGGCAGUUUCACCAAUACAUGUGGGGAGUCUGUCCCAGGCCAGGACCAAAUUAAGAGCACGCAAUCUUAGCUAUUUUAUUUCUUGAUGUUAUUUAUUUAUUUAUUUUAGGAGAUGGGAGCUGCCUGGGCACCUUUUCUUUCUAAUACUGUCCUUUUGUCUCUGAAAUCAUAAUGGUAUUCUAGUACUUUGCUUAUGUCUGGGACAAAAAGUCUUCUUACUGCUUCCCAGUCUAGCUCAAACACAAGUAUUUUUAGAA
Oxyura jamaicensis (ruddy duck) is the source of this 400-nucleotide long non-coding RNA. RefSeq lists it as uncharacterized. The record is from RefSeq and is a predicted model, not a curated record. NCBI's taxonomy places the organism in Eukaryota, Metazoa, Chordata, Aves, Anseriformes, Anatidae. The transcript is spliced from 2 exons.